GGUGGUUUCUGGACAUGGAAGUUACUUGGACAUGAAUGUUACCCAUUCAAUUUUGAAUGGGUAAUUGUUAUUGUCCUAAAGGAAGGAUAUGGAGGAGGUGCACCAAGUGUUGGUGCCCCACUUUUUUAUCGGUUAUUUCUCCCGAGAGAAUGAAGGGGUGCACGUCCCAUUUGAAUGUCAAAUGGGGGCACGCCCUAGUGGAU
RNAcentral lists this long non-coding RNA (203 nucleotides) under Elaeis guineensis (African oil palm). RNAcentral describes it as "long non-coding RNA (EGUI_LNC010177)". The record is from RNAcentral. Lineage: Eukaryota; Viridiplantae; Streptophyta; Magnoliopsida; Arecales; Arecaceae.